Molecule: long non-coding RNA, 19466 nt
Filed under: Gallus gallus (chicken)
Lineage: Eukaryota; Metazoa; Chordata; Aves; Galliformes; Phasianidae
Description: lncRNA (ENSGALG00010026246.1)
Source: RNAcentral
UGACCAGGGCAUGGAAAUCAUGAGGCAUGUCCUUUUCAUCAACUUCUGUGCCAUUUAUUGUUGGCUAAGGUUAAGCACACCUGGUUGGUUACUGCGAUUUAGCUGGGCCAUAGUAACUUGUUGUCUCGGUGAACCAUCCUCUUAUUCUCCCCUUCAUUUUCUAAUAAAUACUCAGAUUUUUCUCAAAGGCUUUUUGAAGGCUUUGCCGUGCCCAAGGACUUUUGCUCCUACUUCAUUGUCUCCUAGAUUUAAAAACGAUUUUGCAUCCAGCACAACUUGUUUGCUAUGAGAUGUUACAGUGCCCGCUCUGUGAUGUGGCUCUGUACAGCAGCUCUUCAGAAGAGCUGUGUUAUUUUUUUUCCCCUCUUCUAUCAUUAACUUUAGUUUAUCCAUAACAAGUGCGCUGUCUGCUGUAAAUGUUAGUUGAAGCCUUACCGAGUGGAUAAUGUUUUACAGUCAUCUCUAUCAGCACUUUUUGGUCUCCAGUGAUGCUUAUGGAUGCAUUUCCUCUCGUCUCCUGGAGCAAUAUUUUACUCUUCGGCCAUUUGCUCUGUGACAGUUUCCUUCUGGUUUUUGGAAGAGAUUUUCAGCGAAUUGACUUGGGAGUUAAUACUGACCUGUUUCCUCAGCUUCAACAGCUGCUUGUACCCUGGCUCAUCCUGAUUUGGAAACCAACACUGUAAUGACUUUUCUGUCAACCUUUUGCAGUCAGUAUUCUUGGCCACACGUCAUGCUUUCCUGGAAUAAGCUGCCACGUGAUGUUCUGCAAGCAAGCUGAAACGUGCAUCUAGCCCAGUGGUUGGUUUGGGUCCUAAUGGGGGGUUCUUGUGACCCAGCCAUAGGGACAAGAUGUGUGGCACAGCUCUUCCUUCCUCCCAGCAGAGGAGAGUCAUGGAGAAGACCAAGCAAGUGCCUCCUUGGGACAGCGCUAGCUAUGAACCCGUGUCCUCUUAACUUCAGAGCGUUCCUAGGGGACCACUUCACCUUUUACAGAAUGAUUUAGUGGGAUGUGCGGGGUACAGAACACGAUUCCUGUGAGCCAGGAGGUUCUGGAACAAGGCAGCAAAACUUGCUCGGUGUAGACAAAGCCAUGUGACAGUCCCACCUAACAGCAACCAUGCUACUGGGAACGCAGACAAAGGUGUCACUGUGAUUAAUGGGGCACUCAUCUGAGCACCGCGUCCAGGAGCACAGGUUGCACCUUGCCCUGGUGGCCCGGCUUUUGCAGGCUUUGUCUGCUGUGAGUCCUGCUCAGAAAUGGCUGGAAGGAAUUCAAGGACAGAGGCAAAAAGGUAAAGCAGCCCCGACACGGCAGAGAUGAGAAAUUUUGCACUUUAUCAUAGGCUAAUGGAAACAAUAGCAGGAAUGAAGGCUGACUGGUUGCUUUUCAGAAGCAGAGAGAAUAAAAUGAUGCAUGAAAUAGCAAGAAGCAUCUUUGCCUGAAGACCAGUACGUGUGUCAUUUGAGCUCGGUGUCUUGGUCAUCACAGUCAGUUAGGCUGCCUCCAGUUAUGAAGAGCCAGUGCAACUCCAUGUGCUGCUCUGAUGGCUGUUUCUUGGCAAAUAGAGGUGCUCAGUUGGGAAAGUAGGGUGGUGACGCACUGGAACAGGUUGCCCAAGGAGGUUGUGGAUGCUCUGUCCCUGCAUGCAUUCGAGGCCAGGCUGGAUGUGGCUUUGGGCAGCCUGGUCUGGUGGUUGGCGACCCUGAACAUAGCAGGGGGUUGAAACUCGAUGAUCAUUGUGGUCCUUUUCAACCCAGGCCAUUCUGUGAUUCUAUGAAAAUGCUCUUCUCAAGCAUUUGGCUGAAUUCAAUGUGAUUCGGACACGUUCAUCAGCACGGAGAACGUGGGGGCCCAGGCCCGUGGCAUCCCAGUGAGCUCUGAUAUUUUAAUGGCCACUUUUAUUCAGCCCAUGCAUCUGCCAGCACCGCUUGCCUACUGUAACCAACGUGCUCAUGUCAUCGUUUACCGCUCCUCCAGUAUUUGUGUCAACUGUGAUCUUUUCUGGCAACAAGCUCACGUUUUGCCUUCUACACAGCAGAGAGAAAUCUCCCAACACUGCAAAAAUCUCAGCACCGGACUGAGAACAGAACUCCUGCAGCAGUGGAGGCUCCUCUGCUUGGGAAGAGGCAGGAUUUCUAGUCAGGUCCCCCAGUUCUUCCGCCUCCUUCUUGGCAGCAGUGACGAGAGGGCAAGAGAUCUUUCUGCCAACGUUGUGAAAGCCAUUGUAUGCUAUUGAUAUUUCUAAAUCAGGACACCCCAUUUCCCUCUGUGUCUCACUCCCACCCAAUGCAUGCCCACCCAAUGGAAGGGGUUGGAUGUGACGUGCUCAACAGCACCUCUUCAAUGCAGGAGCAACUUGACUUUUAUUGCCGGUGUCGAGACCAUCUACAAACAUGGAUUUAGCAUCAGCCUCCAGGCUUAAGAUACAGCUGUUGUAUUCUUUUCUUCUUUGUUCCUUUAUUUAUUUAUUUAUUUCCCUCUCUCCUUUGCACUAAUGCAAUGCUUAUUUAGGAACCGCAGCCAUCUGUGUCUGCUAUGGAUGGCACUGUUAAAUUUGCUAUUGCUUUCUUUCCCCUGGUUUGAUGAGACUCUCAGUGCAUAGAAAAUUUCCCAGAGCGGCAGAGACUUUUCUUUGAUUGCUUUUUUGAUUCCCUCCAAAAGAGAUUGCUCACAGUGCUCUUUCUGUCCUGGAAAAAGGUCAGCAGCAGGAGAGCUGAGGAUCCUGCCUUACACUGGGUUAAUGAGGUGAAUUUAUGAAGAGUUGGCCAGGCAAGAAGGUUGGUGAUAUUAGAUUAGAGGUGGUGGUUUUAUCUGCAAAUAAAAAGGGAGGGGAGGAGGAAGGGCUGGGACCGGCGCCCUUCCUGUUCCUCCGAGCAGCUUGUGGCUGAUGGUGAGACAGCUCACAUGGGAAUUGGGAUGGCUGCAGUACUCCAGGGAAUUUUCAGUGUUUUUCAAGUGGAAAAAUUCUGCCUCGACAGAUGGACAGGGCCCUAUCCCAAGUUAACAAUCUGGCGAUCAACGCGCGCAGCGGGAGGCUCAGGCACAGCUCCGUUCCAGCCAGGCAGAGCAAUGAUGGGUGUGUGGUUUCGCCAUCAGGCACUUGGCUAUUUUUGUCAGGCGAGGCAGAAGCUGAUUUCUUCCUGUUUCGUCGCUGAGCUACUUGGAAAUGGCUUGUGUGCACCCUUGUGAGGGGAGGUAAAUCUUAAAAAUAUCUACGGAGAGAAGAAAAAACAUCUCUCGUUUCGGCGAAGCGCUGUAAAGAACGCUGCUCUGGACAGAGCCACCUGUCCUACAGAGCCACCUGUCCUACAAGUUAUUUGCAUUUUAAGACCCUUCUCUUUGAUUUUGUUUUGCUUUUCUCAGUCAGCUAUUCCUUUAAACGUUCCUCCAUGGAACCACAGCUCCUCUUUGCAGCCCAGGCCCUCUGCCUUGCUAGCAGCCCCCUCAUGGGAAGGCUAGUAACAAGUUUAUCUGAAAAUACCAUCUUAUGGGGAAUCGUAGUGCCCAGGCAUCAGUUGCUGGCAUCAGGUGCUGCUUUUUAGUUUGUAGGAGCUGAGGAGCUGGGACUUUUCUGACCAUAAACCCUUUGGAUGACUGUGUUUGAGUACCACGUUCAUUCCUUGACCCCUGUCCAUGCUCCUCCUCCAAAGCAGGCUGUCUGUAUGCAGGCUGUCUAUGCGAAAGGGCCUUGCCACCCCCCAUGGAGUACAAGGAGUUGUUUGAAAUGGUGAUAAUUAACCCAAUUCAAAACCACAACAGGGACUGUUGCAGUAAUGUGGCGGUGUAGGUAGAGAAGUUCCAGAUGUCAGGACUACUGGUUUAAUUCUAUAGGGCUCUCCAAGUCACAGACUCACUGGAAGCUUGUCAGCUGCUCCCCAGCUUCUUCUGAUGGCUCUCCAUCCUUCAAGAGCAUGUGAUCCUCUCCUAGGGCUACCAACCUGCAUCCUCAGAACUGUUCCCUGGGAUUCACUGCCAGGAUCCCCUGGAGCCCAUGGCACGUUCAGCUCCUGCACUGGCAACGUGGAUGUGUACCUGUGGUGCCGAAGCAUGGGGCUUAGCCUCAGACUCCCUCAGGAAGGGAAGGACGUGCAUCCUGCCUGUCCUGUGUUCCUCUCCAUGGACUCUUUCCAAGGUGUUGGUCUCCAGAAUGCUCCUGGCUCUGCUCUUCUUGGAAGCAAUGGUGAGACAUCUGUCAGUGUGAGCCCAUAGAGGGAAGCUGAGGUCUGCUCCUGCUGCUAGGAUCCAGUAACUCUUCCUGUAAGAAUGUGUUGCUUGGAUGUGAAGAGAUGCUAUCGAUCUUACAAUGGAGGUUGCAGAUGAAGGAGAAAAGGUUGGAAUUAAGCCGACAGCACUCAGCUGCUGUAAGCCGGACAUUGCAGAAUGGUGGCUUGCAUGAAGCCAGAGGCCAAGCUCUAUGGUCUGGAGCCUCACAGGGAGUCCUCCAAGUGAAGGAUGAGCCCUGAGCUGCAGGAGAGAUCUACUCCCACUAAACCAACCUCCCGAGGGGACUUACUUCGUUUGACUGGCUCCGUCAUCCUCAGGAGGAAACUUUCCUCUGCAAGAUGGUGAAAUAGUGCCCAUGUGGAAACGUUCUGACUGCAUGCGCCUGGAGUCCGGCAUUGUUGCAGAGGAGGAGGGCGGCAUAGGAUGGCUCCAAAGAAAAGAGGUCUGCAUCAGAAGGAAAACCUCCUGCCAUGCCAGCUUGCCCAGACCUAACGGUGAGACGGCCUUUCCCAGCUACAUUAAGGGCUGCUUCUUGUGGACUGGAAGUAUUGCCAAAGAGUGAGUGAUCCUUAUUAAUAUGCAUCUCCAAAAACAACAGGCAGUCUUGCACAGAUCCUCUCACACGUAUCUUUGGAUUUUGAGACAGUGGAGAGCUAUUUAUUCCCUCUCACACCAAUGUCAGCCAUAGCGCAAGAUGUCUUGAGCUGAUUAAAAAUCUCUUUAAUCAAAUGCUGGCAGGGGAAGUGUUCAGAAUGUUAGAAGGAUGACUUUGACAAGCUGCCCCUGCACUGUGAGUGACUUCAUCCAGAGGUUGGCCCGGCAGACUGGCGUGUGAUACAAAGCCUCCACUCACCUUGAUUUCCAAAGCUGCCAACAAACUGCAGUGACGAUGCUGAGAAGCCAGUAGGGCACUGUAGCCUGUGCUCAGUUCUUCUCCGUUAGAUACUGACCCCCCCAAAAAAAACCUUUGCUACAGGCAAAAUCCAUCACUCGAUUCAUCAACCCCUACCUACGCUUCAAAUUCCUAUAUCCCAAAUCCAUGGGAACGAUUUUGAACAUGAAUGUAGGCUGGAAAUCAUUGCUGUGCAGAUUGUCUGGAGGCUUUUUUUUCCCCCCUGUUCUAUGGCUGAACUGGACUUCAAAAGAAUAAAUAAAAUCCAUUCUGGUAGCACCCCCUCCUCCCCCCCCCAACCCCCCAGGAGGAGUGUACUUCUAUGGAGAAAGGGCAUAAAGAAACCUCCUGAUAUUUUAUUCAACCAGAAUUAAGUGUUUUGAUUUUGGGGAAUUCAGCUAAUUUUCUUACUCCUCAAAAUAGGUCAGCUUUGAAAUAGAAGAUGUCACGCUGUAACAAAAAAAGGGGAAUAGAUUUGUUUAGUGAAUGUAAGAUUAUACAUACAUACUUCUGGAAUUUUAACAAGCUUAUGAAUGGAAAGAAAGCAUCCAGGUUGUUUCUCAGUCAGUUAGACUUGGAUUUAGGACCGGUUUUCACUCUCCAUAAACUGCAUUUCUUUUUCACUUAGAAGAUCCCCUCCCACCACAAAAGCCCCUUCCCCUUUUGCCAUUGCUGGAAAUAAAUAGCCAUAAUAUAGCUGGAAUUAAUACAGCUACACUGAGUCAACUAAGUGCUGAAUUUUUCUUUCCCAAUGCUCUCCGGGCACCCAGACGUGCUCAAUAGGAAGUGUUGGCACUUGGGGCUACGUAUAGAAAACCAGGGUGUGUGCUGCUGGGGCUGUUAGGGAGGAAAUCUUGUGCCAGCAGCCCUCUGCUGUGGGCCUUCUCCAAGCUUUGUCUCUAUUCCCUCAUUCCUCUGCAGAUGUCCUAAGCCACAUUUUGCUUUCAUUAUGACAAAAAUUGUGCAAGAUACUCAUCUUCUUUUAUUUAUUUAUAUAUAUAUAUAUAUAUAUAUAUAUAUAUAUAUGUAUAUGUAUUUUGUAGCAUUUCUGUGUUCCUACACCUUCUCUCUUUGCGGCAUUGCUUGUGGACAUGUAAGUAGUAGGUUAGUUUCUAUUCUCACUCUGGGGGGUUGGGUUCCAAACUGUUUAUUGAGUAAUAAAAAGAGAAAAUGGCGAGUCAUUGCCCAGGGAUAAUGUGCUAAUAAUUUUAUGACUGGACAAAUGGUUGCAACAGCCCACAAAUGGCUGUAGGCAGGAAACCUGGUGUCUAUUGCUGACAGAGCCACCCCCAAGGAGAUAAAACCUCACUUUUGGUGAUCAAAGUUGAUGCAACAACUGUGAUCUAUUAAAAAUUACUUUGGAGAUGGGUAAGGCAAUCAUUAUUCCUCUUGGAGGAGAAGUGGCGGACAUAGACUUUUUGGGAAGUGUUUAGAAGAGAGCUCUACAUGGGAUGAAUGCAACAGACCACCGUGGCUGCUUGCGCUCGGAGCCACGCGGCGCGCAGCUGCAGGGCUGCAGGCUGGGGAUGCUUGGAGAAACAAAGAUUAAAGGGGGGUUAGUGCUAUCAGGCAAACACGAAUCAUCCCAGAGAUAACAAAGGGUUGAAGUUUAUUUAGCCACUAACCGUAUGGCACUCAAGUGCGUUAGCCUGGCUUGACUGCUGCAGAGCAUGGAGCCGGAAUGGCUGCUGCAGGGCGUACACCAGGAUACACCCUGUCCCACUCUGGGCUGAUGUCCCCUGUCUGAUUACUCAAGGAGGAUGUCCCCCUCCUGGGGAUGGGGCAGUUGUCCCAUCGGCACCAAUUUCUUCCCGCUGUUGUGGAGUUUGGUGGGGAAGGAUGAGCAGGGCCCUUGUGAGGUCUCUCUCUGCCCGUCUCCCAGCAGGCAGGAGGAGCUGUACCUCUUCCAAAGCCGCAGCAGAUCCAGCCCUCGAAGCGGGCAAGAAGCCAUGUGAUGGGGCGUAGCUGCUCGCAGCUGCCAAGACCUCACAUUUGUAUGUUAGUGAUGCAGAUAGGAUCUCAUAAACCCGUCUCCAUACUGCUUUACUGCUGAUUUAACGAUCAGAGGAAGAACUUGACUGUUUAUUAAAACAUUAGACAGUAAAGUUUAACAAUAGACAGUAAAGGGUUUUGUUUUUCCAUCCCUCUGAUUGUUAAAGCAACAACACAUAGGCCUGGAGAGGGGCCUGCUGCUAACCUCAGGAUGAUGGGAUGGGGCCAUGAAGCUCCUCCAGAAGGCAGGAUAGAGCAGCUGGCAUUCUGGCAAAUCCCAUAUCUGAAGAAGGAAAUCUGAUGUAGGGUAUGGGUGCGUGCCCCAUCACCGGAGGCGCUGAGGGCUGGGCUGGAUGGGGCCCUGGGCAGCCUGAGGUGGUGGGGGGCAGCCAGCCCAUGGCAGGGGUAGGACUGGGUGGGCUGUAAGGUCCCUUCCAACCCAACCAUUCUGUGAUUCUAUGAGUCUGACUGCGAGAAGGGGCAAUCCAAUUGCUCUGUGGGCAAGAGUCUCGUGGUAGGGCUCCUGUUGUUCAGCAGACCCACAAACACCGGCAAAGGGAGCAGAUGGAAACAAAACUCGCAAGGCAACAGCAUUAUUCAGGACAGUGCCAACAAAAGCUGACUGCGAAGAAACGCCGAAGGAUUGCAGCGUGCAGGUGAUGAAAUGGCAGAGGAAAUUCAUUGUUGGUAACUGCAGAUAGAGAAAAAUCAGCAGUGGCUGUACCCAUACAGCAGCACCAUCUCAAUGAGCUAUUGCCUCUCUGGAAGGAGGCUGUGGAGGCAAGGCAGGCUGUUUCUGGAAACGUCAGCAGUGAUCACAAAGGCAGUGGCCAUUCUAGGAGUUACGGAGGAAGAAAUGGAGAGUAAAACAGGCUGCCAUUGUGCUGCUGGGUGCAUCCACAGUGCAUCCCCAUCCGAGGUGCUGCCCCUGCUUCUGGUGGCCGUGUCUUGGGGCCAAGGGAAGAUGGAAGAGGAGUUACAGGGACUUCAUAGCAGGACCUCGAGAACUUGAGCUGAAGUGGACAGAUCUGGAGGAGAAGAUGAGAGGAAGAAAGCCCUGGGUGGCUUGGAGGAGUUGGACAUGGAGCUGGACAAGCAUCUGCUCUGUGUCUGUGCUGAUGCUAUUUAGAAACCCCAGCCUUGGCUCUGCUUGACAUUUGGUAAUGCUGAACUGGGACAGCACCCAAAAAACCCCAUCCGUGUUGGACCGUCAGUAAGAGGUGGCACAUCUGACCAAAACCACGUCGCCAUUUGCUUCCUUGACAGCACAUCCUACCUUAUCCCCUGUCCUUGUCCUGCUGACCCCCGUUCCCAGCCUCCCUUGCUCAAUUUCAGCAGCAUCUUGGGAGGCCCCUUCAGCUGCAAGCCCCUCGCUUGGGAAAGAAAGUGGGGUUGGAGGGGGGGGAUCAGAGCCCAGCUGUGGGCUGGGGCAGCAGGCGAGUGCUUUCCAAACGCUGACUGCUGUUGGUGUAUUUCUGCUGGUGAGGAUGCAGCUGGCAGCGUUUGUGUGCAUGCGUUUAUACACACACACACACACACACACAUACUCACCUCCACACGAGUACACGACUAAAAUACAUAUAUUUCCUCACCCCGCAUCUUUCUGCAAGCUGCAAAAAUACAAAAGAAUAAAAUUAAGUCUCUUAUCGCUGCUAAGUCAUCAGAAACUAAUAUUGCAUCUACCGGGCAGUUUUCCCCCUCCCCCCCCCCCGAACCAUCUCCACUUCGCAAUCCUAAUUCAAUGAUUCUUUCUGUAGCUCUUUACAUUCUAUUAUUUAUAAGAAACAAUAUUCAGCCCUCCCCUGACAGUGUUUGCAGGGCUGCGGGAAGCAGUGCGGCAGAAAGGUGGUAGAACAAUUUUGGUUAUGUUUCCAUAGCUACCUAGCUGCUAAAUGUGGUUUAUUCCAUUUUAAAGUCAACCAACACACACCCGCACGCACACGCACAAACCACCAGAUGAAGUGUAUUCAAACUAAUCCCUGGGCCGCCUAUUACAGCCUAAUAUCCCUGCCAUUUGUAUAUUUAAAGGGAUAGUUGCUGCAGAAAUAAAUGGCAGGGCAGCGCUCUCGCUGGCUAGAGCAGGAUGAUCAACAUAUUGUUUCUUUCUUGCUCUCCUCUCCGACGUGUGUGUUCCACUCCAUCCCUGUAAUAUUAUUAUGGAGAUUUUUACCGAGGGCUGAGAGCUGAGGAAGUCGGAGGUAGGAUGGUGUCCUCUCGUGGCAGUCAGCAUCUCUGCAGCCUGAUGGUAGCCGUGCCAAGAGAGAGCCGAGCCUGGGCUCUCCUGGGCAUGCACGGCUGUCUUAGGGACAAAACUCUUGGAGCAGAGCUUCCCACCUCCCCUAGUGCACCCAAAGACGAGGAGCCUCCUGCUUCUGCUCCACGCCAGGCUGGAGGCUGCUGCUUGCUCUUGCUUUCCCUGCGUGAAAGAAGAACCCUUGGGAAAGGAGUGGUGGGUACCAGCUUUGCAGAGCGGAGGAAGUUUGUCCCAUGGAAGUGAGCAUCUCUGAGCUGCCGUGGGUUGGUGGAGAACAUCUCAGAGCUUGUAAUCGUGAGUACCGGCACUGCUUGUGCCUGCUGUGAGGGCGGGAGGGGGGGGUUGAGGGUGAGGAAGAGGAGGCUGAAGGUGGCCUUUGGCAAUGCUGAGCCCGUCAUGGGGAGAUGCCACAAGGAGUGGUGCAGAGAGGAGCCUCUCCCAGUGCCCAACACCUGCUGCUCCACCUGCAUACCACUACAGCUCUGGCUUAUCCUCAGCGAAGGGCUGCGAGGAAUACAGAGCUCACAGUGCUGCUCGUUUGCAGAGUGCAUUCUGAUGGCUCAGCUUGACAUACCCUGCAGCAGGCAGUGGCUGCUCCUGCGUGAGCUGAGCUGGCCAUGCAGCCUCCCCAGCCCCAUUGACAUGCCGGGGCUUAACCCUCUCAUACCCACAUACUGUGCCCAUGUAGCUUGUAGGGUGUCUGUCCAUCCGCCUUUGUGGGAUGUCUGUCCAUCCAUCUUGGCCUGAGCUGGGUCCCUUUUGCUUCCUGAACUUGCUCCAGAUUCAGGCAGCUGUGUGAGCCCCCACGCAGUCCCAUUGCCACAGCCCUGCUGUCCCAGCUGUGGCUGCCUUUCCAGGGCAGGAGGGUGCUGAGCUGUGGGGCUGGCUCAGGAUGGGUGGGUGAGCAUGGCUUACCCCUCAGCACCGCACAGCUUGGUGGUCUGCCUGGCAAAUCUGACCAAAAUGCAAAUCUGAACCCGUGUCAACCACCCUUACCUAUGUCAUGUUCCACCACUAUGUGAGAUCCCACCGUGGACCAAGAGAUGCCAUUAUGAACACGUGUCCAGCAUGCAAUCAAGGCAUGAACUCAUGGUGCUCAUUAUUGGCUUCUCUCAAAGUUUCUGGACAUUUGUCACUGUUUCUUUCUCUUAGGCCAGGAGGGGCUAGUUGUGAAUUGAUUCCCAAUGGCCACAGUGCUCUCCUGUGCUGUCAUUAUGUGUGAUCAUAAGUAAUAACAACAAUCACCGUGUCACUGCUUCCGAGGCAGGCUUUGUCUCUCUGCAUUGGCACCCUUUCAUCUCCAGCUCCCCAGCACGCUGCUGCUGGCAGGUCGGUGUGUUUGUUGGGUUGGUGGUGACAGGUAAUAAUCUGAAGCCUGCAACGUCUCAGCAAGCAGCUGAAGCAUUUCUUCUGCCUUUUCUGCCCCUUCACCCAGCAGUGCUGGGCAGGGGACUCGCAGGACCUGACUGAGAUAGAUCCUCUUCCCAUUGCCCUGGGGAAUGGCAGAGUUUAUAGCAGCAACACAUCAGGCUGAGAUAUCCAUCCAGCCGUCCCCUCCGGGUUAAGGAGGGUUCUUUAUUUUUUUCUUAAUGGGUUCAAUGUUUUACAGCUAACGUUCAAAUAGCAGCUUAAGAGCUUAAAGAACGAAACAGAAGGAUGUGUUGGCACGUCAGGAUGUCCUUCCUCCUCCUGCCUGCCAUGCUCUGCCUGGUGUUAACCCAAGGAAAAGUACCAAUAAACUGUGAGCCUCCUCUGAGCGGUGCAUCCUAUUCAUGGCAUUCCUUCUAUUCUUGUCCAUACCAGCCCAAGGGUACUGCUAUUGCUAUCACUUUCCCUUUAUUUAUAUGCGCUCAGCCACCAGCCCUUAAUAUUCUGUAACACGAGAGCACACCUUCCUGAUCACUUUCCUUCAUUAAGAAAACUUCAUUUCAGCGCUGACGGGGAAAUGAAUUGGGUGAAGGAAAACAAACCACCCUAACGUAACCAUAAGCUUUCUGGUUGGAUUAAAUAUUAAAAUUAAUAAUCCAGCACUGCAUUCAGCCUUGUAUUUAUGUUAAUAUUUAAUUCAAUAAAAGCCCACAUUUUAGAACACUUUCCCAUUUGUUUAAAGCUGCAGAUGAAAUUGUGGUCUCGGCAUUAUGUAGAACAAUCCGCAGCUGACUGCUUUAUGGUAAUGAGGAGGAAUGGCAGCUCCAGAGCCCUCCACCCAGGCAGGAGGGGAAGAUCCAGAAGCGAGAGGAUGUGAGGCUGCUGGGGAAUGUGAUUCUUGCUCGGCUCUCUAGGAGAGAGGCCGUGUGAUGGGCAAUGGUGGUGCAAAGCCCAGGGGCAGUGAGCGCUCUGUGUGUGACUCUGGGACCCAUUUGCAUGCCACAUUGCACAGGGGAGCAGCCAUGCAGCAGCUCAAGGAUUUGGGGAAUCAUAGAAUUGUUAAGGUUGGAACUCUAGGUCAAGUCCAACUGUCAGCCCAUCACCAUCAUGCCCACUAAACCACGCCCCUGAGUGCCAUAUCCCUGUGCUUCUUUACCGUGUCUACACGUUUCUUGAGCACCUCUGCUGCUAAAGAGAGAAAACCAACAACCUUUUGAUUAAUUUUUAACUUCCUGUCUGUUAACUUCAUGGGUGCAACAGUAGAACUCCAGGAGGCUUCAGUUUGUGUUAUAGUCUUCCCAGCCAUCACUUCCCCAACAAGUCCUUGCCCUUGGAAAUGGUAAGUAGACAAGUCCUGGGCUGGAGAUGCAUCUCGGCUUUUCAGGACAAGGGCAGGACAAGGUAAGAGCAUCACGCAAGGGUGGUGAGAUUGGACCCACACUGUGUUCUCCUCCCAUGGCCCUGGGACACCCUGGGUUGGUUCAGCCUCACACCAGGUGAGAUGCUGCGAAUGCUGAGCUUUACCAGAACCAUCCCAUUCUCUUCUUCAAUGCUAACACCUAGUUGGGGUUAGCCCAAAGGAUCAUCCAUUGCCCUGGAGGGCUCAUGCUGCAUGCUGAAAAGCAAGUGGGAAGGACUUUGAGGUCAUGCUUGGUUGGUCUCAUUUUCCAAGGGACCUGUGAGCAGAGCUCCUGGCAGAGGCUGAUGAUUGGGUUUUGCCAAUGGGGAGAUAUUAUGAAAAAAUAAAGAAAGAAAAGAAAGAAAGAAAGAAAGAAAGAAAGAAAGAAAAGAAAAGCUUUCCCAGGAUAGCUGCAAUUGAAAUACAGAAUAAUUGCCUGACAUCACAUGCAGAAAGAAGGUGGAGCACGUAGCAGUGAUCAGUAAAAAUGAAACGCUUUGCAGGUGGAGUACACCUGAGUUUUCUGCAGUCCAGAUAUGUACUCAGACUUCCUGGAAUCUUUUGGGGCCUAAUUAAAUUCAAAGGGAUUUAAGCAAAAUCUGCAUGGAAGAUAAUACUUUUCUUUCUAUUAAGGAACUGCUUAAUAAAACAGAUUAUGUGUAAAAUAGAAAUAUGGGCCCUGCAACAGGAAAGUGAAAAGACACUAAUGAGCAGUGUCUGAGUGUUAAUGAAUUGUAUUAGCAUGCCAUUACCUGCAAAUAUUAUAAAUAGACCGACUGGCUUUGCAUUCCCUUCCCUCCCAAGAACUGUAUGUGAUCUCUAGGAGUGGCUUGCUGGGUUUCUGGGAGCUGUGUUCACCCUUUGAGCCUACAGUGGAGGUGGAGAUGAGAACGUUGACUUUUCGUUUCACUACAUCAUGCAUUCCUUUGGGCAUUCUGAAGCCACCAGGGGAGAGAAGAUGGGGGACGCUGCAUUUUAUUUGGCUUAGCCCAUAGGCCACAUUGGGAAGGAGACAAAACAGCUGCGUGCUGCGGGAGGGUAAGAUGGGAUGGGGUUGUGGCAAACCCACCCCUGUGCUUUCCCCAUCACAGCGAUGGACAAGUCCAGAGAUAUUCUGGGUAGAGAAGCUGGGAGGAGAUGCUACCAAUAAUUGGGAGGGAUGUCAAGAAGAAAUGAUGUAUUUAAACAUACGGACAAGGAUACCUCACCCCUCACCAGCCAUGUAAGGGUUAGUUGUGUGCUCGUUUUGCUGCUCUCUGCAGUCCAUGCAGAAGCAAGUUUCUUGCAGAAGUCUUGGCCCGAAGAGGUGUCCAUGGCAGAUGGGUUCAGCUGUUCUCUGGAGGGUUCUCCUCCUGUUGAUAACAGAGAGAGUGUAGGCAAGUUUGAGACCCAGUACAUGACUUUCAGUCAGUGCUGUUAGCAGAGACAAGCCCUCUUCCCUCCUGGAUGAGGUGCAAACAGCUGUAAUUCUGCAAAAUUCCAUGUGGGUUAGUGCUCAUUUCUUAAACAGCCCAAGCUGUCAGGAAUAGCCGAUGUGUGUGAGGAAGAGGAGUGAAGGAGCUGCUGCUUUCUGGCUGCAAUUCGGAUCUCCUGCUUCGACUUCAGAGCCAACAUCCAGACCUCCUGCUCGCCAGGGGCUGUUCCACUGGGUGCUGCAGACCCAGAGUGCCUCAUAAAUCACCGCUGACUGCCGGGAUCGCUUUGGCCGCUCUUCCCCAUCGUCCUGUCUGCAGGAAUGGGCUGCACGUUUCCACGUGGAUCGGGUCUGAAUUGGCUGUCUGAAUCCAGAGAUUAAAGAAACAGCAGCCUCUCUCUCUCCUGUAACUGGCCCGAGAAUCCAUGAGCAUCCUCAGAAGUCUGAAGAGAAUGGGCAUCCUGUCUAUAUCCAAGGCAGGUAAUCACUGUAAAGGGUGGCUGGAAGGGCAAAAGCUGCAUUUCCCCACGCUGGGGGCUGCGGAGGAGGCAGAGGCAGAUACCUGGGGCUCCCUGGCAGCGCUUGCUGAAGAUCAGCCUUGAUCAGAACAGGUCUUCUCACAGGAAACAUCAACUUUUUGUCAAAAAAGCCUGAAGAUAAAUAUUCUUGGAUGAAAACCUAUAAAAAGCUCAGACUGACAAACUAUUUUUUUUAGGCACUUCUUUUUCUCCCAACAAGAAUAUAUCUGUCAAGAGAAACAGAUGUUCUCUAUGAAGAAUCUUCUUUAAUUACAAGUCUGUCAAAAAGAGAAAUCUUCAAGUGUCUCAAGCCUCAAAUCUGCGAAUGGCUUCAGCCCUGGGCAAGAAAUCACCCCUUUCCUGAGCAGCCCCAGUGCCCUUUCUCAGCUCUUGUCAUGUCAUCCCUGCAGCUGCACCAAUAAACUGGGCAUUUUUGGAGUUUAGUUUUCAGAUGAGCCCGCUUCAAAUCAAUGGAGCUGCUGCUUUUCGUGACUCCUGGGAAUAAGAUGGCGUGGAAACAACCCACGGCCAUGCCCAAAUAAGAAAACUAAAAGAAUUAUUGGUUUUGGUCAACCUGGAACAUGGCUCUUUUUGCCCUGACAUUUUCCUAGAGGAAAGUGAAACUCUUCAUCUACAGAUUCAAAAAGUCCCAAAGGCACUCUGUCAGACAUCUCCCAACGUGCUCUCUCAGUUAUUGCUGGAUGGAUCAGAAGUUCUCCAGGGAGCAGUGAAGAUGUUUUUGCGGGCUACAUAACCUCAAAGGCUGAAAAUACUCAAUUCCAGUGUCUGCUUCUUGCUUCCAGAGGAGAUAUCUGCUCUUUGUCUUCAUCUUCAUCGUCAUCAUCUUUGUCUUUGUCUUCAUCAUCUUUGUCUUCAUCUUUGUCUUUGCUUUGUCUUUGUCCUCCUUCUCCUUCUUUCUCUCUCUCCUCUUCCUCUUCCUUUUCCUCCUUCCUCCAGCUCCUAAAUCCCCACCUUCCCUCCUUUCCUUCUCCCCAUCAUGCAUUGCAUGCUGAAUGCAGGAGGCUCUCAAAGGCAAGAGUCGGCCUGGGACACUCUUACCCACAAUAGCAGUGGUGAACAGAACCCAGGUUUUCAGCCAGGAAAUUUCACUGGUAAUCUCCUGCGAGGGAGGCACUCCCAUUUUUCAUGAUGGUUGGCCCUUGCGGGAUAUGGAUGAAAAGAGAAAGCAUUUCAUUUGCUCUUUGAAAACUGGAGCUAUAGAUCAAGGCCCUGCUCAGUCCCCUGAAGACUAGAAAUGGGAUUUUUGCAAGAAUUGAGGCUAUCCUCUCUGAAAACUAAAACAGUUAUCUACACUUUCAUCGAGAGGUCAGCAGUAGAGAUUUUUCUCCAACAGCUGGAUAAAUCCAGGCUGUUAGUGCCUCUCCUUCCCACUGUUCUCUGUUAUUGCUUUUCAUUACGUGAAGGGUGAGGAACAAGCAAAUACCUCUGCUUUCUAGCUUUGCCCUUGCCCGUUUGUACAAAGCAGCCAAACAUUUCCUUCUGACACUCAGGACCCAAGCACCUUUGGUGUCUGAUAUUUCUCCUUGGAUGCCGUGGUCUGGAUGCAGUUGCUCAGGGCUGCUUAAUCCUACCAGAUGGCAUAGAAAUGUUAUUUUUUGGACACAGGCACUCCUCUUGCCGGGUAUGGGUGCCACGGGACCAGGGCAUCCUUUGUCACCUGGACCCAUUGUGAUCUCCUGUAACACUGGGCAGGAGGGUUUGCGGAAUCACGCUGCAUCCUGCGUCCCUGAGCCUUGCAGCCAUAAAUCCUUUGCCUCUGCCACAACUGUGAUUGAGCCUGCCUGGCUUAAUUUAUUUCUCCAGAGCCCACACAGUUAUGGUAGAGAUGAUUGCCUGCUCAAGGAGCAGCACUUGGGAUGAAAUCUUUUCCUCUUGAGAGUGCUGCUGGAAAAACAAGGCAGUGUCCGUGAGCUGCCAGCAAUCCCCAUGUAGGCAUUGUCUUUGCUUGGCCACUUCUUUGCGGUGCUCUCAUCCUUCCUGACCUCUCCCCUUCUCUCCCUUCCUUUAAGUCCUUUUCUCUCUGUUUCAUUUCUACCUAUGUCUCUUCCUCUUCAGGUUCCUCGCUAGGCACUGGAGCUGAUUGCAGUGGUGAUCCAGCAAAUCACAGUAGUGAUGCUGCUGAUGGAAUAACUCCUUGGGGUUCCACGCGGUUGCUGUGCGGGCACUGAGUUUCAAACUGCAGAAAAGGAGCAGGAAAGCCUGAUAUUUGGGUGCAUCAACUGGAGCUUUCAUCCCCACCCCAGGGAGAUGGGUUUUGGAGCCCUAGCAGUCUGCCCACCCUAUGGACAUGGCCAGAUACCCCCAGUUCCUUCCCAAGCACUGCUACCCAGAGAGGUGCUCUGUCCUGGCUAUGGGAGUUGAGCACGAAUAACUCACAAAUAAUGGAAAUCCCCACCAUGUGCCCCCAGCAUUGGCACGGCUCAGAGCCCUGCAAGAAGCGCGCUGCCUUGUUUGUCACCUGAAGCACUUGGAAAAAUUACACAAAUCCAUCAAUGUAAUGAAUCUUCUCAGCAGUGGCGAAUAGACAGAGACAGACAGGCACUCAGCUGAAACAAGUCAUCUUUAAAAAUUAAUACAAAAUAAACAGCUGGCCUUUCGCUCCGCUUCCAGGUGGUGGCUGCGUGGUUUGGGCGAGGGCUGGGCAGGGAUCAAUGAUGGUUCCCAAUGGGAUCACGUCCCUGGGGCAGGGAAGUGUCCUCUGCCGUGUCCCUGUCACUGUCACAGUGUCACCUCCAUCUGCUGCUGCUCCAGGAAUGGUGGUGCAGCGCGGCAGUCAGUGUUGCACUGCGUGAGUGACUGCUUAAGAAACAGCCAAAUCUUUGGGAAUGCCAAAGCCUCAUCACCUCCCUACAGCCUUGCCAGGCUUCUGCCAGCCCUCUGGGCUCUCACAUCAGUUUGUCAGUGUCUGAUGGAGCUUGUACACUCCUCAGAGGACAGGCUGAGCUUGCUCUCCUGCUUGUCACGAUGUGGGCUCCAUAAAUAAUUAACAGCGGUGCUGCUUCUGCCCUCGAGCUUUCAUUUCAUUACCCAGGAAUAACAUACCCACCUAUAUACGUGUGUAUGUACAUGUCUGCGUGUAAUACGCAUCCAUAUGUACUUACAUUGCUUAAACAUCUGUUUCACCGGCCAGCCUCUCUGCUUUUCCUUCGGCCAUGGCUCUGUCUCCCUGCUGGUCCCAAGGGCAGGCAAGCAGCAGAAGGCGCUGCUCUCGACCGUGAGCAUCCCACCAGUGCUCCAGCUGCUCCUGCUCUGAGGCCAGGCUAUUUACGAGGUACCCAUGGGGCUGCCCUUGCCCUGCAGAGUGUGGGGAUGGAGAGCGGGGAGGAAGACGGAUGGAUCCUGAAUUGAGGUGAAUUUAUGGGGCUUUGCGAUUCCUGCUGCUGUAUGUCUCCGAGAAAUGACACCGCCACUUCAGGAGCAGAGAUUAAUCUGAGCCGGCAGGAGAAGGACAAAACAAAUCAUCUACUGCAGGAAUCUCAUUUGAUGCCUGUUAGUAAAAGCACUGCGAUGAAUGGCUUUUGUAAAGACCGCGUAGUACAGGCUUUUUUUUUUUCCUCCCUUUUCUCCAUUCGUCUGCAAAUUGAGGUCUGUGAGGUGUGUGGUGGAGGCACCCCAGGGUCACUCAUGGCCAGGCACAGGACAAGGACUCCCAGCAGCUUUGUGCACUGUGAGACAGGAGAGCAAAAAAGGGAAGGCAGAGCUCCCAGCGCGUCGUACCCAAGGAAGGAAUCCUUCGCUUUUGUUUUUAAAAGGGCAUUGAUUCUCACGUCCUGCAGAACACGGGGUCGGGGCAGCCUGCAGCCCCAGACAGAACAUCCCAGUGCUGCUCUGCAUCCCAGCCAGCAGCAGCUGGAUGCGGCCCAGUGGGAGCAGUACCAGCACCGAGCACUCCUCCCGCACGCCGCUGUGCAUCCCAGCUCAAUACAGAAUCAAUUGGAUUGAUCUUUUUUUAAGGUGCAGCCUCCGAACGGCUGAGACUGUGAGAGACGUGGCUAAGCACGCACUUCCACAAAAUAAUUUGUCAGGCCCCGCUGUAGAAACCUAAUGAUGGCUGUAAUUUAUUGCUGACAGACGAUAUUUAUCACCGCAGCAUCCCCUCUUUCUCUUCCUCUGUCUCGUUAGGAAUGGCAUCAAUAAUGUUUAUUGUAGCUUUUAAUUUUUUAUCGCUGGUAUUCUUACCUGUGCUGCUGAGGGCUGCAGGAGAUGGGAAAGGCGUCAGAGCAGAUGGAGGCUCAGCUCUGUGCUGAAGGGUGAGCGAUGAAGGCUGGAAGUUCCUCCUGCGUGCCCAUGCAGGGAGCGUGCAGUGCCAGAGAGCACCCCGAUAGCAGGGAAAAGUGAGCUGUUCCCAUAAAGCUUACUCCCUCUCUUCUGAGCCUUUGGACCUGUGCAAGGGAUGCUCAGACCCAGCAAAGCAGUGGCAUUGCUUUGGUUUUCCCCAGACGCUGCUCCCACGUGGGGCUGGAGAAGGAACAUCACCCCUCCGCUGCUGCACCUGCAUUGCUGCGAUCAUCUCACACCUGAUGAUGCCCACAAGCCCUGUGGUCACAGUUCUUGUCCCUGAAAGCAACCAAAACCCCAACUCCAAUCCUGAAAUCUCCUUUUUUUCCCCUCGUUUUCCUACAGUUUUUCCUACCCUUGAGGAAAUGUGCUGCACCAGGUUGUGAUGCCCUAUAAACCAGCACUUCCCAGAGGGGAUUUCUUCCCCCUUUCCAGACGUGAAUAAUUACCCAGGCAGAGGCUGUUCCAGCCUCGUUACAGGAGCCUCUCAGACUAGCCGGUCAUUUACAGAUUAGAUAGAUGUUGCCCACGUUGUUCAUAACUGAUUAUGGGAUUGGCAGUUUGGCUCUCACCCAAAAUUCAGAGUCCUGAUUUAGCAUAAUUGGAAGUGAAUGGCGGAGCAGGCUGGGGGAUGGGGAUGGUGCCUGCUGCUGAUUUCCUAAUGCCGGCUUUGGGGAUCCCUGACAAGCUGCGGAGUGCUCUUUAUAGGGCAAUAACGUUUACGGUGUGGGUUGUCUGGGGGAGGAACUCCUGUGAUGGCAGCAGCCACCUCCUGCACGUCCCAGAUCGAAGCUGGAGAAAUCAAGAAUACCAGAAAAGCAACGAGGAUGAUAUUAAAAAGUAAUCCCUUCUGUGUCAAGGUGUGGGCUUUUUUGCUUAUAGAAAUUGUUCUUCUGCAUUAAUCUAUUCUACUUUGUGCUAUCCUGUCCUUUUACUGACUUCUGUUCCUCCCUUAGUUUAUCCCACUAAAUGUUGGCGUUCCCACUGUUGACCCUUCAUGCACCCAUAGCCUUCCUUGCACUUAUUCUCACAGCCCCUCUCUGCUGGAGGCUCCAAGAGCACAGUGCAAUCCAUUGUGCAAUCCACAAUGCAAUCCAGUUUGUCC